AGCGAACGCUGGCGGCAGGCUUAACACAUGCAAGUCGAGCGGGCGUAGCAAUACGUCAGCGGCAGACGGGUGAGUAACGCGUGGGAACGUACCUUUUGGUUCGGAACAACACAGGGAAACUUGUGCUAAUACCGGAUAAGCCCUUACGGGGAAAGAUUUAUCGCCGAAAGAUCGGCCCGCGUCUGAUUAGCUAGUUGGUGAGGUAACGGCUCACCAAGGCGACGAUCAGUAGCUGGUCUGAGAGGAUGAUCAGCCACAUUGGGACUGAGACACGGCCCAAACUCCUACGGGAGGCAGCAGUGGGGAAUAUUGGACAAUGGGGGCAACCCUGAUCCAGCCAUGCCGCGUGAGUGAUGAAGGCCCUAGAGUUGUAAAGCUCUUUUGUGCGGGAAGAUAAUGACGGUACCCAAGAAUAAGCCCCGGCUAACUUCGUG
RNAcentral lists this ribosomal RNA (434 nucleotides) under uncultured bacterium. RNAcentral describes it as "partial 16S ribosomal RNA". It matches the Rfam family "Bacterial small subunit ribosomal RNA", at positions 29 to 507 of the family's 1533-position model. The record is from RNAcentral.